RNAcentral lists this ribosomal RNA (711 nucleotides) under uncultured crenarchaeote. Its description in RNAcentral is "bacterial SSU rRNA". It matches the Rfam family "Archaeal small subunit ribosomal RNA", at positions 52 to 771 of the family's 1478-position model. Lineage: Archaea; Thermoproteati; Thermoproteota. The record is from RNAcentral.
UGCGAGUCGACACAGCAAUGUGUGGCAUACGGCUCAGUAACACGUAGUCAACAUGCCCAGGGGACGUGGAUAACCUCGGGAAACUGAGGAUAAACCGCGAUAGGUCACUACUUCUGGAAUGGGUAAUGACCCAAACCUAUAUGGCCCCUGGAUUGGACUGCGGCCGAUCAGGCUGUUGGUGAGGUAAUGGCCCACCAAACCUGUAACCGGUACGGGCUCUGAGAGGAGGAGCCCGGAGAUGGGCACUGAGACAAGGGCCCAGGCCCUAUGGGGCGCAGCAGGCGCGAAACCUCUGCAAUAGGCGAAAGCCUGACAGGGUUACUCUGAGUGAUUUCCGUUAAGGAGAUCUUUUGGCACCUCUAAAAAUGGUGCAGAAUAAGGGGUGGGCAAGUCUGGUGUCAGCCGCCGCGGUAAUACCAGCACCCCGAGUGGUCGGGACGUUUAUUGGGCCUAAAGCAUCCGUAGCCGGUUCUACAAGUCUUCCGUUAAAUCCACCUGCUCAACAGAUGGGCUGCGGAAGAUACUAUGGAGCUAGGAGGCGGGAGAGGCAAGCGGUACUCGAUGGGUAGGGGUAAAAUCCGUUGAUCCAUUGAAGACCACCAGUGGCGAAGGCGGCUUGCCAGAACGCGCUCGACGGUGAGGGAUGAAAGCUGGGGGAGCAAACCGGAUUAGAUACCCGGGUAGUCCCAGCUGUAAACGAUGCAGACUCGG